RNAcentral lists this long non-coding RNA (1467 nucleotides) under Coturnix japonica (Japanese quail). Its description in RNAcentral is "lncRNA (ENSCJPG00005002332.1)". Lineage: Eukaryota; Metazoa; Chordata; Aves; Galliformes; Phasianidae. The record is from RNAcentral.
AUAGGUCCUUUGGGGUCCUUUGGGGUCACUGUGACCCUAUAGAUCCUAUAGGUCCUUUGGGGUCUUCGGGGUCUCCUCGACCCUAUAGAUCCUAUAGGUCCUUUGGGGUCACCGUGACCCUAUAGAUCCUAUAGGUCCUUUGGGGUCCUUGGGGUCUCCUCGACCCUAUAGAUCCUUUGGGGUCUUUGGGAUCACUGCAGCCCUAUAGAUCCUAUAGGUCCUUUGGGGUCUUUGGGGUCCCCUUGGCCCUAUAGAACCAUUUGGGGUCCUAUAGAAUCUAUAGGAUCCUUAUGUUCCACUCGACCCUAUAGCUCCGUGCCUUCCCAGUCCCUCCCAGUUUAACCCAGCCCCUCCCAGUUUAACCCCAUAACCAGCCCCACACCCGGCCCUAUUGCCCCAUAACCAGCCCCUAUUGCCCCAUAGAUCCCAUAUAACCCAGUUACACCACAGCCCCACCCCAUAACCAGCCCCACACCCGGCCCUAUUAAUUACCCCAUAGAUCCCAUCCCCUCCCAGUCCCAUCCCAUAUAACCCAGUCAAACCAGUUACACCACAGCCCCACCCCAUAACCAGCCCCACAUCCGGCCCUAUUACCCCAUAGAUCCCAUAUAAACCAGUUCAGCCCCAUAGCUGCCCCACAUCCGGCCCUAUUACCCCACAUCCGCCCCUAUUACCCCAUAGAUCCCAUAUAGCCCAGUUACACCACAGCCCCACCCCAUAACCAGCCCCACACCCGGCCCUAUUAAUUACCCCAUAGAUCCCNCUAUUACCCCAUAGAUCCCAUAUAGCCCAGUUACACCACAGCCCCACCCCAUAACCAGCCCCACACCCGGCCCUAUUAAUUACCCCAUAGAUCCCCUUCCAGUCCCAUCCCAUAUAACCCAGUCAAACCAGUUACACCACAGCCCCACCCCAUAACCAGCCCCACAUCCGGCCCUAUUACCCCAUAUCCGGCCCUAUUACCCCAUAGAUCCCAUAUAACCCAGUUCAGCCCCAUAACCAGCCCCACAUCCGGCCCUAUUACCCCAUAUCUGGCCCUAUUACCCCAUAUCCGGCCCUAUUACCCCAUAUCUGGCCCUAUUACCCCAUAACCAGCCCCUAUUACCCCAUAGAUCCCAUAUAACCCAGUUACACCACAGCCCCACCCCAUAACCAGCCCCACAUCCGGCCCUAUUGCCCCAUAGAUCCCAUAUAACCCAGUUCAUCCCCAUAGUUACCCCAUAACCGGCCCCUAUUACCCCAUAGAUCCCAUAUAAACCAGUUCAGCCCCAUUGUUGCCCCAUAUCCGGCCCUAUUACCCCAUAGAUCCCAUAUAACCCAGUUCAUCCCCAUAGUUACCCCAUAACCGGCCCCUAUUACCCCAUAGAUCCCAUAUAACCCAGUUCAGCCCCAUAGCUGCCCCAUAUCCGGCCCUAUUACCCCAUAGAUCCCAUAUGACCCAGUAUAACCCCAUAACCAGCCCCUAUU